Molecule: ribosomal RNA, 366 nt
Filed under: Staphylococcus aureus
Lineage: Bacteria; Bacillati; Bacillota; Bacilli; Caryophanales; Staphylococcaceae
Description: bacterial SSU rRNA
Rfam family: Bacterial small subunit ribosomal RNA
Source: RNAcentral
UUUAUGGAGAGUUUGAUCCUGGCUCAGGAUGAACGCUGGCGGCGUGCCUAAUACAUGCAAGUCGAGCGAACGGACGAGAAGCUUGCUUCUCUGAUGUUAGCGGCGGACGGGUGAGUAACACGUGGAUAACCUACCUAUAAGACUGGGAUAACUUCGGGAAACCGGAGCUAAUACCGGAUAAUAUUUUAAACCGCAUGGUUCAAAAGUGAAAGACGGUCUUGCUGUCACUUAUAGAUGGAUCCGCGCUGCAUUAGCUAGUUGGUAAGGUAACGGCUUACCAAGGCAACGAUGCAUAGCCGACCUGAGAGGGUGAUCGGCCACACUGGAACUGAGACACGGUCCAGACUCCUACGGGAGGCAGCAGUA